CAGAGAGAGGAGGAGCUGUGCCUGGGCAAAUGGAUAAUGAUUUCAGUUGACUCACUUUUAGAAGGAACAAGAUCAACAACAACACUUUGCCUCUUCAGAUUAUCAGGCAAUGUGAGUAACAUUUUCAGAGAAUCUCUCUGCCCUAGAACUUUAAAAAAAGAAGCUUAAAAGAAAAUCCCACAAAAACGAAUGUGUGCUUCUAGAAGAAGAAGUUUCACUGUGGUAGAGAUCAUUGUUAAACAAUAAUAAUAACAACAGUUACUACAGUACAUGGGACAGACAACACAUAUAUAAUGGCAAUAUAAAAAGAGACAAUAUCGGAGAAAGUGAGGAGCUUAUAAUGGUAGCUAAGAAUUAUUUAGCACCUAAUGAAUGUUUUUAUGCUCAUUACUUUAUUUUUCACACAAUGAAUUAAAAAAAAUAAGAGGCAAAUAGUAGAGCUGAAGUUUGAAACAAAAGCAGUCUGGUUCCAGGGCCCAUCCUCUUUACUAUAUUAUAUCAUCCUGUCCUAUCCUACACUGUAUUAUAUAUACUGUUCCAUACUGUAUAAUAUAAUAUAAUAUUGCCUCUUCUGCACAUUGAGGUUUUCUGUGGACCUGUACUUAUGUGUAUAUAUAUAUAUCCUUCAUCAGUUUGCAGUCUCCAUAAAAAUAGGGACUGAGUCUGUCUAGUUUACUACUGAGUUCUCAGAAGCCCAAUGCUCCACAAAUAGGUGUCCAGAAAUAUUUGUUGAUUGACCAGUGUCAACAAGCAAAACUGAAACAAAUUAGGCAGUUUGGCCUUAAAUAGUAAAGGAGGAGUUUUUCCUUUGACAAACUCAAAUCCCCUUCGUUUUCUACUAUUGUGCACCAUAACUUAAAGCAAGAUCAAUAAGGACAUUUUAGCAAUAGCAAGCAGAAGGCAGCAGACUCAGAUGAGAAAAAAUGAGAGAAAAUUUUCUCAAAGUCUUUUGCUGUAAUGCCUAUAAGUUUCUUAAAAGGCUUGGUAUGUAGCUCUGUGCAUGGCAGAAGUUUAAACUUGAGGAAAGGCUCCCUGAAUCCUGAAAAUCUCUUCCAUUUUAAUUACAAUUUUAUUCCUAAAAGUAUAAUCAACUAGACUAAGAUAUGAAGUAUAUGUUUCUUUAGGAUCUUAGUUCUCAUAUCCUUAUCCUAAAGAAGGUGUACAACACAGAUGCAAACAACAAAUAAAUGUUCUUUAUAGGCUUUGUGUUUAGGAUGCCACUGUGUGAGAUCCACAUUAUUCCCCAAACGUUCCAAAAUUUCACUAACUGACGGGUAUGAAUGAAGUCAGUUGUAUCAGUACUCAAGUUUUUCAUUUCUAAACUCAUGCAAGAGUUUCAAUACCUUUCAAAAUUCCACCCUCUCACCAAUAUUUUUGGAAAUCUUGAAUAGUUUCUUACAUAAGUUCUUGAAUUAAUAUGUCUCUAUCAUGUCAUUUCAUUUGCACUUCUUCUGCAUUCGCUCAGGCCCCUGCUGAUUCACCCCAGUUCUGGUACUCUUAAUCUUCAUAGUGCUAUAAAACUUGGCAGUCUCCUGGGAGGUAAAAAAAAAAUACAUAUAUAAUGCUCAGUUGGUUAGUUUGGGAGUUGUUUAGAUCUUGAAAUGUUAAGCUAUUUACGGAGAAAUCCACUUUCUAUUCACACUCGUGAUCCGUUUUCUCCUUGGAAUAUAUAUUGCCACUGAGAUAGCCAGACUGGGAUGAAAUUUCUUUAUCAGCCAUCUCACUAUAUCUUUGCUGUCAUCUAAUCCUCAAACCCUGUUGUGAAAUUGCCAUUCCAGAUUCUUUCUUCCCUGGGUAUGAAUUCUUUCUUAAGGUCUUUGCCAACUAACUGUGCCAUCUGGCAGUCUUACUUUCUCCCUCUCCCAUUCCAGGCCCAAAAAUAUGUCUAUGUAUAUAAAUAAGAAUUCCUCUCACCAUGUUGUGAAUCAAUCCUCAUGUAAAUCAGUGAAUACAAAUAAUGGGUAGGAUGCCAUCUAACUCCAUAUGACAGUCACAUCUGACUCUGAGCCUUGGCCCAAUGGUGACCUCACCUUUAAGUUACUGUAAUUGGUUUUGUUCCCAAGUUCCAUAUGUCUGUCAGUAGAUAGGGCUUCCAUGGAGAUUACACUCACUUAUUCACUGGAAUUCUCUUUUUCUUUGGAAGUAAAGUUUGGGGACUGUAUUAGUCAGGGUUCUCCAGAGAAACAGAACCAAUAGAAAUAUAUAAAUAGAUACUCACAUGUAGGAUAUAUUUCCAAAUAUAUAAACUUAUCAUAAGGAAUUGGCUUAUGCAAUGUGGAGGUUGAGAAAUCACAAAACCUGCAGUUGGGAAGCUGGAGACCCGGGAGAACCAAGGAUGUAGUACCAGUCCAGAUGUCACCUCAUGCCAGACCCAGGAAGAGCAACCAUUUCAGUUAAGUCUAAAGGCAAGAAAAAACUGAUGUCCCAGCUUGAAGACAGUCUGUUAGGAGAAGUUCCCUCUGAGGCAAGGGAGAGUCAGAAUUUAUUCUAUUCAGGCCUUCAGCUGAUUGAAUGAAGUUCACCCACAUUAGGGAAGGCAAUCUGCUUUACUCAGUCUACAGAUUUAAAUGUUCAUCUCAUUCAAAAAUGCCCUCACAGACACCCAGAAUAAUGUUUGAGCAAAUAUCUGGGCAACUCCUGGUCCAGUUAAGUUGAUACAUAAAGUGAACCAAAGGCAUCAUAUGCCCUGAUGCUCAUUCUCAAAACAUGUAUUUACCUAGUAGAUAAAAUAGCUCAAGUUUCAGAUAAAAGGUAAACAAGUC
This 2762-nucleotide long non-coding RNA is filed under the name Sus scrofa (pig). RNAcentral's name for it is "lncRNA (ENSSSCG00015036010.1)". The record is from RNAcentral. Lineage: Eukaryota; Metazoa; Chordata; Mammalia; Artiodactyla; Suidae.